This 2881-nucleotide ribosomal RNA is filed under the name Stenotrophomonas maltophilia. Its description in RNAcentral is "23S ribosomal RNA". It matches the Rfam family "Bacterial large subunit ribosomal RNA". The record is from RNAcentral. Lineage: Bacteria; Pseudomonadati; Pseudomonadota; Gammaproteobacteria; Lysobacterales; Lysobacteraceae.
GGUCAAGCGAAUAAGCGCACACGGUGGAUGCCUUGGCGGUCAGAGGCGAUGAAGGACGUGGCAGCCUGCGAAAAGUAUCGGGGAGCUGGCAACAAGCUUUGAUCCGGUAAUGUCCGAAUGGGGAAACCCACCCGCUUGCGGGUAUCCUGCAGUGAAUACAUAGCUGCUGGAAGCGAACCUGGUGAACUGAAAUAUCUAAGUAACCAGAGGAAAAGAAAUCAACCGAGAUUCCGUAAGUAGCGACGAGCGAACGCGGACUAGCCCUUAAGCUGGAUUGGUUCUAGGAAAACGCUCUGGAAAGAGAGCGGCCAUAGAAGGUGAUAGCCCUGUAUCUGAAAGGGCCAUUCCAGUGAAGACGAGUAGGGCGGGGCACGUGAAACCCUGUCUGAACAUGGGGGGACCAUCCUCCAAGGCUAAAUACUACUGACCGACCGAUAGUGAACCAGUACCGUGAGGGAAAGGCGAAAAGAACCCCGGAGAGGGGAGUGAAAUAGAACCUGAAACCGUGUGCGUACAAGCAGUAGGAGCUCCGCAAGGAGUGACUGCGUACCUUUUGUAUAAUGGGUCAGCGACUUACUGUUCGUGGCAAGCUUAACCGUAUAGGGGAGGCGAAGGGAAACCGAGUCUGAUAAGGGCGCAUAGUCGCGGGCAGUAGACCCGAAACCGGGUGAUCUAGUCAUGCCCAGGGUGAAGGUGCGGUAACACGCACUGGAGGCCCGAACCCACUCCCGUUGCAAAGGUAGGGGAUGAGGUGUGAUUAGGAGUGAAAAGCUAAUCGAACCCGGAGAUAGCUGGUUCUCCUCGAAAGCUAUUUAGGUAGCGCCUCAUAUGUAUCCUCUCGGGGGUAGAGCACUGUUAUGGCUAGGGGGUCAUCGCGACUUACCAAACCAUUGCAAACUCCGAAUACCGAGACGGACUGUAUGGGAGACACACGGCGGGUGCUAACGUCCGUCGUGAAAAGGGAAACAACCCAGACCCACAGCUAAGGUCCCAAAUUCACUGCUAAGUGGAAAACCAUGUGGAAAGGCACAGACAGCCAGGAGGUUGGCUUAGAAGCAGCCACCCUUUAAAGAAAGCGUAAUAGCUCACUGGUCGAGUCGGUCUGCGGGGAAGAUUUAACGGGGCUAAGCAGUGAACCGAAGCUUGGGGUGCAUAACUUUGUUAUGCGCGGUAGAGGAGCGUUCCGUAAGCCGUUGAAGGUGGAUUGAGAAGUCUGCUGGAGGUAUCGGAAGUGCGAAUGCUGACAUGAGUAACGAUAAUGCGGGUGAAAAACCCGCACGCCGAAAGCCCAAGGUUUCCUUGCGCAACGUUAAUCGGCGCAGGGUGAGUCGGCCCCUAAGGCGAGGACGAAAGUCGUAGUCGAUGGGAAGCAGGGUUAAUAUUCCUGCACCUCGCGUAAGUGCGAUGGAGGGACGGAGAAGGUUAGGUGUACCAGGCGUUGGUUGUCCUGGGGAAAGGCGGUAGGUUUGGAUCUUUGGCAAAUCCGGGAUCCUUUAAGACCGAGCACCGAGACGAGCCUUUAUGGCGAAGUCACUGAUACCACGCUUCCAGGAAAAGCUCCUAAGCUUCAGCUUACGCAGACCGUACCGUAAACCGACACAGGUGGGUAGGAUGAGAAUUCUCAGGCGCUUGAGAGAACUCGGGUGAAGGAACUAGGCAACAUGGCACCGUAACUUCGGGAGAAGGUGCACCCUUUUUGGUGGCUCGUGCGAGCUAUAGCUGAAGAGGGUCGCAGUAACCAGGCCGCUGCGACUGUUUAUCAAAAACACAGCACUCUGCAAACACGAAAGUGGACGUAUAGGGUGUGACGCCUGCCCGGUGCUGGAAGGUUAAUUGAUGGGGUCAGCCGCAAGGCGAAGCUCUUGAUCGAAGCCCCAGUAAACGGCGGCCGUAACUAUAACGGUCCUAAGGUAGCGAAAUUCCUUGUCGGGUAAGUUCCGACCUGCACGAAUGGCGUAACGACAGCGGCGCUGUCUCCACCCGAGACUCAGUGAAAUUGAAAUCGCUGUGAAGAUGCAGCGUUCCCGUGGCAAGACGGAAAGACCCCGUGAACCUUUACUAUAGCUUUACACUGAACGUUGAGUUCGUCUGUGUAGGAUAGGUGGGAGGCUAUGAAACUGUGGCGCUAGCUGCAGCGGAGCCAUCCUUGAAAUACCACCCUGUCGUGCUUGACGUUCUAACCUGGGCCCAUUAUCUGGGUCGGGGACCGUGUAUGGUGGGUAGUUUGACUGGGGCGGUCUCCUCCUAAAGAGUAACGGAGGAGCUCGAAGGUACGCUCAGCGCGGUCGGACAUCGCGCACUGUGUGCAAAGGCAUAAGCGUGCUUGACUGCAAGAUCGACGGAUCAAGCAGGUAGGAAACUAGGACUUAGUGAUCCGGUGGCUGUAUGGAAGGGCCAUCGCUCAACGGAUAAAAGGUACUCCGGGGAUAACAGGCUGAUACCGCCCAAGAGUUCAUAUCGACGGCGGUGUUUGGCACCUCGAUGUCGGCUCAUCACAUCCUGGGGCUGUAGUCGGUCCCAAGGGUAUGGCUGUUCGCCAUUUAAAGUGGUACGCGAGCUGGGUUCAGAACGUCGUGAGACAGUUCGGUCCCUAUCUGCCAUGGGCGUUGGAGAUUUGAGAGGGGCUGCUCCUAGUACGAGAGGACCGGAGUGGACGAACCUCUGGUGUUCCGGUUGUCACGCCAGUGGCAUUGCCGGGUAGCUAUGUUCGGAAGCGAUAACCGCUGAAAGCAUCUAAGCGGGAAGCGCGCCUCAAGAUGAGAUCUCCCGGGGCACAAGCCCCCUGAAGGAACCAUGUAGACUACGUGGUUGAUAGGUCAGGUGUGUAAGUACAGCAAUGUAUUGAGCUAACUGAUACUAAUGAUCCGUGCGGCUUGACCAU